UACGUAGGCAGCGAGCGUUGUUCGGAGUUACUGGGCGUAAAGAGUGCGUAGGCGGUUUUCUAAGUUUGGUGUGAAAUCUCCCGGCUUAACUGGGAGGGUGCGCCGAAGACUGGAAGGCUUGAGUAUGGGAGAGGUAAGCGGAAUUCCUGGUGUAGCGGUGAAAUGCGUAGAUAUCGGAAGGAACAUCAGUGGCGAAAGCGGCUUCCUGGACCAGUACCGACGUUCAGGCACGAAAGCGUGGGGAGCAAACAGG
This 253-nucleotide ribosomal RNA is filed under the name uncultured bacterium. RNAcentral describes it as "partial 16S ribosomal RNA". It matches the Rfam family "Bacterial small subunit ribosomal RNA", at positions 524 to 776 of the family's 1533-position model. The record is from RNAcentral.